Long non-coding RNA from Monopterus albus (swamp eel), 280 nucleotides. RefSeq lists it as uncharacterized. The record is from RefSeq and is a predicted model, not a curated record. NCBI's taxonomy places the organism in Eukaryota, Metazoa, Chordata, Actinopteri, Synbranchiformes, Synbranchidae. The transcript has 3 exons.
UGCCAUAUCCUGGGACUGGUAACAAUAUCGACCCUUACACGGUUUUCCAGAAUGUUGGACUGAAGAUGGCAACAAACUUGUUUAUUCCAAUGCCUCCAUGUUUCAAGUUCAGAGGAAGAGAAUAUUACCCAGACCACUUUGUUAUGUUACCCCUGAAGUCCGAAGUUGCUCAUGAUUUUGUUCCUGGAGUGGCAGCUCCCGUACCAAGUAAUGCUCCAGCUCCAUCAGUAGUGACAAUCUGCACCUUCUUCCCUGAGACUUGGUUAUGGGACCUGGUAGA